CGGGGAUUGGCGCAGCCAGGUAGCGCGCCUGCUUUGGGAGCAGGAGGUCGCCGGUUCAAAUCCGGCAUCCCCGACCA
Molecule: transfer RNA, 77 nt
Filed under: Candidatus Saccharibacteria bacterium QS_5_54_17
Lineage: Bacteria; Candidatus Saccharimonadota
Description: tRNA-Pro
Rfam family: tRNA
About the family: Transfer RNA (tRNA) molecules are approximately 80 nucleotides in length. Their secondary structure includes four short double-helical elements and three loops (D, anti-codon, and T loops). Further hydrogen bonds mediate the characteristic L-shaped molecular structure. tRNAs have two regions of fundamental functional importance: the anti-codon, which is responsible for specific mRNA codon recognition, and the 3' end, to which the tRNAs corresponding amino acid is attached (by aminoacyl-tRNA synthetases). tRNAs cope with the degeneracy of the genetic code in two manners: having more than one tRNA (with a specific anti-codon) for a particular amino acid; and 'wobble' base-pairing, i.e. permitting non-standard base-pairing at the 3rd anti-codon position.
Source: RNAcentral